Alligator mississippiensis (American alligator) is the source of this 856-nucleotide long non-coding RNA. RefSeq lists it as uncharacterized. The transcript has 2 exons. The record is from RefSeq and is a predicted model, not a curated record. Lineage: Eukaryota; Metazoa; Chordata; Crocodylia; Alligatoridae.
GUUGAGUAUGCCACUAGAUGCAUAUUAGCCUAACUUUCACUUCUACUGAGUACCUUAUGUCACUUUAACUUGCCAGGACAUCCAAGGAACCUCCACUGUCAAAGAACCUAAACCCAAUGAUCACUGUUGAUAAUUCUGUCUUCUACAAAUACUUGAGGAAGCAUGAGUAAAGUACUUCUGAGAUGAACUACAAAUGCUGCAGGCUGCUUCACUCAGAACAUCUUAGGACAUGGUAUUAAUUUAUGGAGCUACACACAACCCAGCAUUCAGGGAUCUGCAGAUGCACCAGAAAGCCAACAAUGGGCAGAAUCCCUCUGAUAAAUAAUUUCUGAUACUGUUUCUGAGGAGGAUGAGAGAGGAGAACCUGAUUAAAACAGAAAACAAAUUCUGUGGAGCAAGAAAGAGAAUACAUUAUAAAACCACGUAAUAACCACAUUGGGUUGUUAUUCAUUGCAGACUUCACUGGGUUGAAGAAUGGACUUCUCUAAAUGCAAACGCACCAGUUGUCUCCACUCUGCCAAACAUAUAAGGUUUCAUAACUGACUUCCACUUUGUCAUGCUUGCAGCCAGAAGAUAUAAAGCAGUGUGAUGUCAAAUUUGUUUCAUUAAACAGAUGCCUCAAGAUCAUUGAUCAUGCUUUUAGCAGAAUGCCUUUUUUAAAAAACACAGUAUACUCCUGCCUCCAUACUCUAUUGUACUGAUGGGAUUUUAAUAUUUGCAAUAACACAUGUUGACUAAUUGUAUUUACAUUUCCUGUCUUCCAGGGAUCUGUUAAAAGAGCUCAUCAAUAUGUAAACAAAACUUGCAUGCAGACAAUAUGUAUCAUAUUAAUAUUAAAAGAUUUUCAUUACUUGAA